GGUGGACGGGUGAGUAACACGUAGGCAACCUGCCUCUCAGACUGGGAUAACAUAGGGAAACUUAUGCUAAUACCGGAUAGGUUUUUGGAUCGCAUGAUCCGAAAAGAAAAGGCGGCUUCGGCUGUCACUGGGAGAUGGGCCCGCGGCGCAUUAGCUAGUUGGUGGGGUAACGGCCUACCAAGGCGACGAUGCGUAGCCGACCUGAGAGGGUGACCGGCCACACUGGGACUGAGACACGGCCCAGACUCCUACGGGAGGCAGCAGUAGGGAAUUUUCCACAAUGGACGAAAGUCUGAUGGAGCAACGCCGCGUGGGCGAUGAAGGUCUUCGGAUUGUAAAGUUCUGUUGUUAGGGACGAAUAAGUACCGUUCGAAUAGGGCGGUACCUUGACGGUACCUGACGAGAAAGCCACGGCUAACUACGUGCCAGCAGCCGCGGUAAUACGUAGGUGGCAAGCGUUGUCCGGAUUUAUUGGGCGUAAAGCGCGCGCAGGCG
Molecule: ribosomal RNA, 495 nt
Filed under: Brevibacillus brevis
Lineage: Bacteria; Bacillati; Bacillota; Bacilli; Caryophanales; Paenibacillaceae
Description: bacterial SSU rRNA
Rfam family: Bacterial small subunit ribosomal RNA
Source: RNAcentral